GCUGGCAAUGAUGACACACUUGCCCUCACUGAGAUCCAUCGCAGGGAUUGUUGUUGAGAACAUCCUCUGUGCUCACUGUGGGCUGAGCCUCC
Molecule: small nucleolar RNA, 92 nt
Filed under: Falco tinnunculus (common kestrel)
Lineage: Eukaryota; Metazoa; Chordata; Aves; Falconiformes; Falconidae
Description: Small nucleolar RNA SNORD103/SNORD85 (ENSFTIG00000007920.1)
Rfam family: Small nucleolar RNA SNORD103/SNORD85
About the family: This family includes the snoRNAs SNORD103 (U103) and SNORD85 (HBII-251) . The members of this family belong to the C/D class of snoRNAs which contain the C (UGAUGA) and D (CUGA) box motifs.
Source: Rfam by way of RNAcentral